Molecule: ribosomal RNA, 793 nt
Filed under: uncultured bacterium
Lineage: Bacteria
Description: bacterial SSU rRNA
Rfam family: Bacterial small subunit ribosomal RNA
Source: RNAcentral
AGAGUUUGAUCAUGGCUCAGAUUGAACGCUGGCGGCAUGCCUUACACAUGCAAGUCGAGCGGCAGCGCGGGGGCAACCCUGGCGGCGAGCGGCGCACGGGUGAGUAAUGCAUCGGAACGUGUCCUCUUGUGGGGGAUACCAGUCGAAAGACUGGCUAAUACCGCAUGAGAUCGAGAGAUGAAAGCAGGGGACCCGCAAGGCCUUGCGCGAGAGGAGCGGCCGAUGCCCGAUUAGCUAGUUGGUGGGGUAAAAGCCUACCAAGGCGACGAUCGGUAGCUGGUUUGAGAGAACGACCAGCCACACUGGGACUGAGACACGGCCCAGACUCCUACGGGAGGCAGCAGUGGGGAAUUUUGGACAAUGGGGGCAACCCUGAUCCAGCCAUGCCGCGUGUGUGAAGAAGGCCUUCGGGUUGUAAAGCACUUUCGGCCGGAACGAAAUCGCACUGGUGAAUAUCCAGUGUGGAUGACGGUACCGGAAGAAGAAGCACCGGCUAACUACGUGCCAGCAGCCGCGGUAAUACGUAGGGUGCGAGCGUUAAUCGGAAUUACUGGGCGUAAAGUGUGCGCAGGCGGUUUCGCAAGUCAAGUGUGAAAGCCCCGGGCUUAACCUGGGAACUGCGCUUGAAACUACGGAACUCGAGUGUGGCAGAGGAAGGUGGAAUUCCACGUGUAGCGGUGAAAUGCGUAGAGAUGUGGAGGAACACCGAUGGCGAAGGCAGCCUUCUGGGCCAACACUGACGCUCAUGCACGAAAGCGUGGGGAGCAAACAGGAUUAGAUACCCUAGUAGUCC